RNAcentral lists this ribosomal RNA (447 nucleotides) under uncultured bacterium. RNAcentral's name for it is "partial 16S ribosomal RNA". It matches the Rfam family "Bacterial small subunit ribosomal RNA", at positions 29 to 523 of the family's 1533-position model. The record is from RNAcentral.
AACGAACGCUGGCGGCAGGCUUAACACAUGCAAGUCGAACGCCCCGCAAGGGGAGUGGCAGACGGGUGAGUAACGCGUGGGAAUCUACCCAACCCUACGGAACAACUCCGGGAAACUGGAGCUAAUACCGUAUACGCCCUUAGGGGGAAAGAUUUAUCGGGGAUGGAUGAGCCCGCGUUGGAUUAGCUAGUUGGUGGGGUAAAGGCCUACCAAGGCGACGAUCCAUAGCUGGUCUGAGAGGAUGAUCAGCCACAUUGGGACUGAGACACGGCCCAAACUCCUACGGGAGGCAGCAGUGGGGAAUAUUGGACAAUGGGCGCAAGCCUGUUCCAGCCAUGCCGCGUGAGUGAUGAAGGUCUUAGGAUUGUAAAGCUCUUUCACCGGAGAAGAUAAUGACGGUAUCCGGAGAAGAAGCCCCGGCUAACUUCGUGCCAGCCGCCGCGGUAA